This 4583-nucleotide long non-coding RNA is filed under the name Elaeis guineensis (African oil palm). RNAcentral's name for it is "long non-coding RNA (EGUI_LNC020988)". The record is from RNAcentral. Lineage: Eukaryota; Viridiplantae; Streptophyta; Magnoliopsida; Arecales; Arecaceae.
GUCUCUCAUCUCUCCCGUCGCUUCCUCUUCUUCUCGAAACCAUGGCGCUCGAGGGACCGUUGGUCUCCCAUCUCUGCCGUCGCUUCCUCUUCUCCUCGAUAAGAAUCCCUAACGCUAGAUUUCUUUCUACCCAGAUUCAGUGCCAUCUCCUGCUAUUCCUUCCCUCCCACUAAUCCUAACGCUUAUUAUAUAUUAUAUAUAUAAUAUAUAAUAUAUAUUAUAUAUAUAUAUAUAUUUAUUUAUUUAUUUUACCCAGAUCUGCAUUCGUGCGGCGGGGGAGGAGGCACUGCUCUUGGAUGCUGGAGAUUCGCGUUCUUUCGAUCUUCCAUUCCUUCCAUGCAGAUCAUAUGAGGUAUUUGAAGCUUUAGCUAAUGUUUAUGUCCACCAUAGGGGAAAAGGUUGCUUCCUUUUCAGCUAGUCUAUCUUCUCAUUUUGUACAUAUUCUAAGGUUUAUUUGUGUGAUCAUAUGGUGUUUGAUUCAAUGCAAGUUUUGAUCUUUUUGGAGUUACGGUACAUCCAGUUGCUGAACUUAAUACGGAGAUCAAGUCCUCUUUAAGGAUUUGAAUUUAAAUUCAGUGAUCGGAUAUCUUUCAGAAAUUUUGGUUGCAUACUUUUGUUCAUUACUUGGUCGUUGGUUUUGUGCCAAAGUUUCACAGUUGUUAUUGUAAUUGGAUUUAGAAUUUUCCAUGGAAGGGAUACAUAUAGAUAGAUUAGUACGACAGAUAGCUCUUUCGUUAGAGCGUCAUAAACAGCAACACGUCUUGAAUGUUCGAUCUAUAUUAGAAUUUAGCAAAACCUGUAUUAGAAUUUAGGUGGUCUGAUAAUGGAUUAAAAAAGUGGGGUGAAUUGUUCGAUAUUGUUUAUUAAGAUCUACAUAUAACAAUUCAACUAAAACCCAACUUGCAAAGCAGUGAUGAUUGUUCAUCAAUUGCUUUUUGGUACAUGAUUGUUCAUCAAUAGCUAAACAGGGACUUCAUUCUGUCCUUAGUGGUGACUUGCAUAUAGAGUAAUGACAGACCAUGUGGAAAUGCCAAUUUUACAUCUGAUAUUGGUAGUGUACUAGCAUACAUGUGAUACAUUGAUGACAUUCUGAGGCAUCAAGAAAUGUCCUUAUAUGAGUGGGAUAUCAUUGGGUAGAGGAUGUGAUGGAACGAUUGGGAAAUUGGAACACAAUGGAAGAUUUAGUACUUAAUUUGCACUAAUUUAUAAUCCUACACCUACAAAUGAAUAUUAUAAUAUGUGGAAAGGUGUUGUAGUCUUUGAAAAGUUGUUUAAGAUGGCAACAGAAAUUCAAAAGUUUCUUUCUGAAAGAAAGCAAGAUUGAUGUUCAAAGAACUUUCUGCUGACAUUAGAUCAAAUUUCCUAGCAGAAAAUCUGAUCACAGAGCAUAGGCUAAUAAUUUUUAAUGCAUCCAAGAAGAAAAUGGAAAAGGACUCUUUCAGGUAGCUAGGACUGACUGAUGGUUUUACAAGGGGAAAAAGUGGCUGGAUUAUCUUUCUGAGUAUAAUUGUUGAAGAAGGGUAUGCAUGCUGAAAAGUUGUGCUGGAUUGUAGGGUGAAACCGAAGUAAAAUAAUAGAAAUUCUUUGAAUUCCAAAAUCCAAUGAUGAGUGGUAUGGUAAAAAAAGAAAAUUUGGUGGUGGAACAUUUAGUUCGUGAGGCAAUUGAUGCCAGAACAUUCACAUUUAGUUCGAGGCAAUAAAGCUAUUAUACUAGUUAAAUUUUGCAGCCGAUGAUUUAUAGGCUUUAUCAAUUAAGAUAUGAUCAUUUGUCAUUUUUGAAUGUUUUAAAAUCACCUCUCAACCUGAAAUCACUAAAUGUGGUACCUAUUCCUAACCCAAGUCAACUUUGUGCAAGAGAGGGGCUUACCAGGGAAAAUAGGAGGCUAGUUGGAAAGUACAACGUUCCAUUUUCAUAGGUUCUGUAGCUUAAGUUCAGGCAACUUGGGAGAAGAUCAUGCACAUGGAAUUUCCAUCAACAACAAUUAAGUGGCCUGACAGUCGCGAGACAGAACCAUAAGGCCUGCUAGGUUACUAUCCAUCUCUUCAAUGACGACCCUUUGUCACUUAACUACUCUUGGUUAAGUAUGAUCAUUUCCAGCUAACUAUUAUUCUGUCCGUCAUCUAGUAAUGAAUGUGACAGCAUGGACACGAGAGUACAAUCAUUCAUUUGCUAUAGUCUAUUAUUUUCUUACAGUCUGUCAUGCUUGGUAUGAAGAUGAAUCCUCAUGUUGAUCGAGCUGUAAGAUCUGCAUCUUGAGUUGCCUUGAUGUGAGCUGGCUGAAACAUAUGUACUAUCGAGUGCAUGAACCAUUUUAAGCUGAUAAACUCCAAACUUGCUGGCAUUCAGAAUCUAAUUUGGUUAGCUGCAUGCUUUUAAAAAGCUAGCAGUGAUUUAUGAUGAAAAAUAAACAUAACUAGCCACAGUCCUGUGGUUGCAUUUGCUCCUGCUCCUUAUGACAAGUAGUAUAAGCAACCUAAAACGUUUUCCUUGCUCCAUGGAAUCUUUUCCCCAAUCUCAAGUGCCGAAGGGUCUAUAUUCUAAAAUUUUCAUCUUGAAACAUCUUGCUCAGACAUCCACAGGAAAAUCAACCGUUUUGGAUGUGGAGUCCUAUAGUUUUUUUUGCUUGCCUGGAGCUUAUCACAAAGUAUUUGUAAAGAUAAUUUUUAUAUUAAUAGAGCUAAAUCUUCAUAGUAGAAUAUUUAUGAUUCUGAAAUCUUAUGUAAUCAUCUAUGAUUCAAAUCUUCAUAGUAGGAUAUUUGUGAUUCUGUGUAAUCUUGUAUUAUUAGUAGAAUCUUAUGUAAUCAUCUAUGAUUUUGUGUAAUCUUGUAUAAUCAUUCGUAACUAGAUUUGUAUCACCUAUCUCUCUUUUUAAACACAACAGACUCAUCCUGAUGAAUAAGGUGAGGUUUAUAGAAUUUUCUCUCUCUCAAAUAUUUUCAUGAUAUCAGAGCCAAUCUGGAUAAUUUUCUCAAUUUUUUUUCAAAAUUUUUGAGUUUUCUUUUCACAGAUCUUCAACAGUUCAAUUUUUCUUUCAAUUAUAGUCGAUCUCUCAAACUCAUCAAACACACAAACACUUCUCUCUACUAUUCCCUACUUGCCUAUCAAACUCGAGGGUCCAAACUACUAUCUAUGGAAGAACAUGAUGAUUCUACUUUUUCGGGCUUACAAGCUUCUCAGAUAUGCCGACGGCACACUCAAGGCACCACCAGCAAUGCUUAUCGACAAGGAUGGCACACCCAAAUCAAAUUCCGAAUACGAUACAUGGUUAGUUCAUGAUCAAUUUACUCUCACUGUGCUCUUGCUCUCUGUUGAUUCCUCCAUCGAAUCCAACCCUAUUGGACUCUUCUCUGCUCUCGCUACCUGGACUACUCUUGCCAAUCUCUUUGAUUCUUACACCAUGGCUCAAGAGGACUUUAUUGAUUUGCAAUAGUGUAAACUGAGCAAGAAUAAUAAAUCCAUGAUGGCUUAUCUAAAAGAGGUCCGUGAUGUUGCAAAUUAAUUUGCACAGAUCGGUAAGCUCAUGACAUCGAUGCAGAUUAAUUGAUGAAUUACUUUGGAUCUAGGCUUGGAAUGGGAGCCGCUUGUGCUCGCCCUUGCUCUCACUCUUUCAACCCUAUCCACCGAUGAUUUGCAGAUGCUACUUCUCCAAUAAGAGGUGCGACGCAACUUUGCCACCCCAUCCGAGCCAUCGUCGCCCCUUACCAGUCUUUUGGGGCCAACUCCACAACCCACAGUGCACUGGGUAGACGGUCGUGAUGGCAUUUCCUACAGCAGCGAUCGGAGCUCACGUGGCUAAUGGGGCGGAUGCGGUGGUCGUGGUUGUCACGACGAAGGUAGAACUUCUUCCCUUCUCGAGCUGAUUCUUACACUAGUUCUAGGCGCAACAAUGGCAUGAGCUUCUUUCUAGCUAACUAUUAUGACCAAAGUGGGCCUGGCAAUUCUUCUCGGCCUAACUCAGCUGCAUCAUGAUCUGGCCACUCUGGUCAGCCAAUUGGGCCUAGUCGUAUCUUCUUUGGCCUAACCAACCGAAUCUAGUCCACUUCCAAUAAUUCACACUAUGGACCUAACAGAUUUUUCAUGCCCAAUGAUCAAGUUAUUUGUCAGAUGUGUGCACGACCUGAUCACAUGGCCUCAUUUUGUUCUCCUUAUACAUAGAUAGUCCAGGCUCAUUCUUCACAAGGAUCAGUAUCUGGGACUCAUGAUCUGGACUGGUAUAUUGACUCUGGCACAAUGCAUCAUGUGACAUCUGAUCUCGCCAACUUCAACAUUAGAGAUGAUCAGUCAACCACAAAUCAUGUUUUUAUCGAUGAUGGUUCAGGUUUGCCUGUCCUUGCCUCUGGCUCUUCUACUUUACAUACACCUUAUUGUCCCUUACAUAUGAAUAACAUUUUAUGUGCACUCAAAAUUUUUAGAAAGUUACUUUUCAUAUCCAAAUUUGUUCGCAAUAAUACCUGCUUUUUUGAGCUUCAUUCUGAUUAUUUUAUUGUUAAGGACCUCCACAUGUGCCAGGAGCUUUUACUAGGACCAAUUAAAGAUGGAUUGUACUGCCUCCGCCCCAAUGCUAGCUAUUCUUUGAACCCAC